GUGCGAGACCGAUAGCGAACAAGUACCGUGAGGGAAAGAUGAAAAGAACUUUGAAAAGAGAGUUAAAGAGUACCUGAAACUGCUGAAAGGGAAGCGAAUCGUAUCCAGUGUCUAUAAUCUGCGGCAUAUUUCAUUGGCGGCAGUGUGCGUGCUUUUGCGUCGGAAGCGGCUUUUGUUGCUCUGUGCUUUUGCUGUGCGUGCUGUUGCUGGUGCCCUGUGUUGCGGUGGGACGUCAGAGUCAGUUCGUAUGCUGCGGGAAAUGGCCGCCGAGGAGGUAGGUCAGGACUUCGGUCUUGGCUGUUAUAUCUUGGUGGUUUGUUGUCGUGGUUGAGACUGAGGUGCCUACAAUGUGCUUUUGAGUGUACCGGGUUCUCAUUUGGUGGACUGUUUGGAUAGCUUGCUAUGCUUGUGGUUUUUUCAUCGGGUGAUUGAGUCUGGUGGUAACUUGUUGCUGUUCGGGACUUUG
This 466-nucleotide ribosomal RNA is filed under the name uncultured Oomycota. RNAcentral describes it as "LSU rRNA". It matches the Rfam family "Eukaryotic large subunit ribosomal RNA", at positions 326 to 628 of the family's 3401-position model. The record is from RNAcentral. Lineage: Eukaryota; Oomycota.